GUCCUGCUUUGGUUGGGAUGCGUCAUCUGAGUCAGUGUCCCUUGAACCAGAACGUGAUAUUUUUCUUGAAUAUCCAUUUCCCUGAUGUGAUACACUUGUUCUUGAAAAUGGCUUUAAGUGAUGUGCCUUAGAUCGCUUCGUUUUGUGUGUCUUCUGCUUUCCUCCUCUGUGCAGAGUUCCCAGUGCUAACCUGAACUUGGAGUCAGGCGAAGUGCACGGCAACUUCAAGAGAAGCCCUGAGUUUUGACACAGAGGUGUGCUGUUUGCAUUGCCAUUAUUUCUAGCACAGGCUUUCUGAGAAUCAGCUUCUGCUAAAACCCAUCUGUCCGAGUCUGAACUGGUCUCUUCUACAUCCAUACAAUCAGUUUUCUGCUCCCAACUGUUUUCACAAGACAGCAGUGUUCUUGUUACAUCCAGAUACUUCUCACUUCUUCCCUGCUCAGGCUUGACACCUUUAUCUUUUUCAGCCAAGAUAUUCC
Molecule: long non-coding RNA, 479 nt
Filed under: Gallus gallus (chicken)
Lineage: Eukaryota; Metazoa; Chordata; Aves; Galliformes; Phasianidae
Source: RNAcentral